UGCCAGCCGCCGCGGUAAUACGGAGGGUGCAAGCGUUAAUCGGAAUUACUGGGCGUAAAGCGCGCGUAGGCGGCUUUGUAAGUCUGAUUGUGAAAGCCCAUGGCUCACCCAUGGAAUGGCGAUCAAAACUGAUAUUCUCGAGAUCAGAAGGGGAGAGUGGAACUCCUAGUGGAGCGGUGAAAUGCGUUGAUAUUAGGAGGAACGCCGGUGGCGAAAGCGACUCUCUGGUCUGAUACUGACGCUGAGGUGCGAAAGCUAGGGGAGCAAACGGGAUUAGAUA
This 280-nucleotide ribosomal RNA is filed under the name uncultured bacterium. RNAcentral describes it as "partial 16S ribosomal RNA". It matches the Rfam family "Bacterial small subunit ribosomal RNA", at positions 506 to 784 of the family's 1533-position model. The record is from RNAcentral.